This 66-nucleotide unclassified non-coding RNA is filed under the name Caloramator quimbayensis. The record is from RNAcentral. Lineage: Bacteria; Bacillati; Bacillota; Clostridia; Eubacteriales; Clostridiaceae.
CAACCUAUUCAGCGAUGAAUAGCUGAACUGUUAGAAGUCAGCAGAGGUCAUAGUACUACGAAAUAC